AAAGUCGUAACAAGGUCUCCGUUGGUGAACCAGCGGAGGGAUCAUUAUUAGAGCGCCGAAAGGCCGCUUGAAACCAUCGCGAACCUAUCCAUCAGCGUUGCUUCGGCGGGAGAAGGUCCCGGGGCCGCGACUCUCGCGGGCCCGGGUCCGGGGACACCACCUCUCCGGAGGUGUGCCCCGCCCGCCGGAGGUACGAAACUCUUCUGCAUCUACGUGGAUCUCUGAGUAAACAAGCAAAUAAGUUAAAACUUUCAACAACGGAUCUCUUGGUUCUG
Molecule: unclassified non-coding RNA, 275 nt
Filed under: Ascomycota sp.
Lineage: Eukaryota; Fungi; Ascomycota
Description: partial contains small subunit ribosomal RNA, internal transcribed spacer 1, and 5.8S ribosomal RNA
Rfam family: Eukaryotic small subunit ribosomal RNA (bases 1-47)
Source: RNAcentral